CGCACCCACCCCGGGCCACGGGGAGCCCCAGCAUCGUGCUGGGGGCGCAGAGGGAUUUUCUUCACUUAGAUGGGUGCUCAGAGUGAGAUUUUCAUGCUGAGCCUGGCCCAGCUCCUCAUUCUCCGGGCAUGAAGCCCCCGCAGAGCCACAGGAGCAUCCCCGGACGCUCUCCCGGGACGUCCCCGUGGGCUCCAAGGCCGAGGGGUGAAGCAGCCCCACCCUGGGCCAUGGCUCCCCUCCUCCCCACGGCUCUUUCCAAGCAUUUGUGGCAAAUGUGAUGCUGGAGAAGUUGGGAUCGUGGUGGCCCAGCUGCUGCUCCCUCCUCCGGGUCGGGUCCUCCUUCUCCCCCGUCCUUUGCUCCCCGUAGCUCAGUUAGGCAGGUAGGUGUUAGCAAACUCUGGGCUGUCUGCAAAAACUUCUGUAAAAUAGAAUAGACCCUUUAAAUGAUGCACUAAAAUGAAAAAAAAAUCAUAAAUGCCCCCCCCCGUCAGCUUCUCUGUGUGAUGGUUCCUUGGAUGUCCCCGCUCAGCCCAUCUGUACCGCACAGGCAGCUCUGCAUCCUCCCCCCGGCUGCUGCACAGGUAGAAACAAAACAGGACGUGCAUGUCCCCCGAGGAGUUUUAUUUAUUGUUUUGAGAAGCAAUUGAAAAGGGAAAAACAACAACAAAAAAAGGAGAAACUGUAUCUAUAAUAUAUAUAUAUAUAUAUAUUUUUUUUUUUUUUUUUAAUCUCUUUUUUUUUUUUUCCUGAUGCUCCUCCACCCGUGUGUGUGGGUGUGUGUGUGUGUGCGAGUCAAGGGAUUCGGUGCCCAGGGCUGGCAGCUGUGGGGCAGAUGUGGGGCAGAUGUGGGGCAGCUCGGGGCAGAUGUGGGGCAGAUGUGGGGCAGCUGUGGGCAGAUGUGGCAGCUCGGGGCAGCCGCCCUCGGCCCCGCCGGAGCACAGGGACCGGGGCUCCCCUCCCGUCCCAGCUCCCCGCGCCCAGCCGCAGCAGAGCGAGGGGAGGGAGGUUCGUGUCGAGUUUGUGAUGUUUUUUCCGGGAUCUUUGCCCAGUUCCACCUUUCUCUGAAGUGUUUUCAACCCUCGGGGUCUGGCCUGACCGAGAACCUCCCGCGCCCUGGGGGCGUCACCCCCACCCCCGUCCCGUUCCCUCCCUACUUUGCUCCCUUGACAAUCAGUGGCUCCUUCCCAGGGACUGCAGCACGUGGUUGAGACGUCUAUUUCGUUUUUUCAAUAUUCCUUUUUUUGUGCUGUAUGGUGAUGCGUUAUUGUAUAUUCCACAAUAAGACAAAAAAAAUAUAUAAAAAAAUGAUAAUAAUAAUAAUUACCAUGAGAAAUUCUUAUGAGUUUUGUUUGGAAACUCUUUCACUAUAUUUGUUGUAAAGAGGUUUACUAUUAAAAAGAAAAAAAAAAAAUACACGUUUCUGAUAAUUUUCCACGCCUCUGGCU
RNAcentral lists this long non-coding RNA (1445 nucleotides) under Lonchura striata (white-rumped munia). RNAcentral's name for it is "domestica (Bengalese finch) lncRNA (ENSLSDG00000016329.1)". Lineage: Eukaryota; Metazoa; Chordata; Aves; Passeriformes; Estrildidae. The record is from RNAcentral.